UACGGAGGAUGCAAGCGUUAUCCGGAAUGAUUGGGCGUAAAGCGUCCGCAGGUGGCGAUGUAAGUCUGCUGUUAAAGAGUCUAGCUCAACUAGAUAAGAGCAGUGGAAACUACAUAGCUAGAGUACGUUCGGGGCAGAGGGAAUUCCUGGUGUAGCGGUGAAAUGCGUAGAGAUCAGGAAGAACACCGGUGGCGAAGGCGCUCUGCUAGGCCGUAACUGACACUGAGGGACGAGAGCUAGGGGAGCGAAUGGG
RNAcentral lists this ribosomal RNA (253 nucleotides) under uncultured bacterium. RNAcentral's name for it is "partial 16S ribosomal RNA". It matches the Rfam family "Bacterial small subunit ribosomal RNA", at positions 524 to 776 of the family's 1533-position model. The record is from RNAcentral.